This 497-nucleotide ribosomal RNA is filed under the name uncultured bacterium. RNAcentral describes it as "partial 16S ribosomal RNA". It matches the Rfam family "Bacterial small subunit ribosomal RNA", at positions 29 to 507 of the family's 1533-position model. The record is from RNAcentral.
AAUGAACGCUGGCGGCGUGCCUAAUACAUGCAAGUCGAGCGAACGGACCAGAAUCUUUCUUCUCUGAUUUUAUCGGCGGACGGGUUAUUAACACUUCGAUAACCUACCUAUAAGACUUGGAUCACUUUGGGAAACCGGAUCUACUACCCGAUAAUAUUUUGGACCGCAUUGUUCCCCCGUGAAAGACGGUCUUUCUGUCGCUUAUAGAUUGAUCCGCGCUGAAUUAGUUAGUUGGUUAGGUAACUGCUUACCAAGGCAACGAUGCAUAGCCGACCUGAGAGGGUGAUCGGCAACACGGGAACUGAGACAGGGUCAAGACACCUACGGGAGGCAGCAGUAGGGAAUCUUCCGCAAGGGGCGAAAGCGUGACGGAGCAAAGUCGCGUGAGUGAUGAAGGUCUUAGGAUCGUAAAACGCUGUUAGUAGGGAAGAACAAAUGUGUAAGUAACAGGGAAGAUAUUGACGGUACCUAAUCAAAAAGCCACGGCUAACUACGUG